UACCAGCACCCCGAGUGGUCGGGACGAUUAUUGGGCCUAAAGCAUCCGUAGCCGGUUCUGCAAGUCCCCCGUUAAAUCCAGCUGCUCAACAGAUGGGCCGCGGAGGAUACUACAGAGCUAGGAGGCAGGAGAGGCAAGCGGUACUCAGUGGGUAGGGGUAAAAUCCGUUGAUCCAUUGAAGACCACCAGUGGCGAAGGCGGCUCACUGGCCCGAUACUGACGCUGAGACGCGAAAGCGUGGGGAGCGAACAGG
RNAcentral lists this ribosomal RNA (253 nucleotides) under uncultured bacterium. RNAcentral describes it as "partial 16S ribosomal RNA". It matches the Rfam family "Archaeal small subunit ribosomal RNA", at positions 474 to 727 of the family's 1478-position model. The record is from RNAcentral.